UUCCUCCCCUCCUUCCUUCUCCUUCCCCUCCUCCCUCGCUCCUUCACCUCAUCCUGCCCAUCGCCAUGUUCGCCCCUUUUAGGCAGACGGAGGAAUGCGGAGCGGCGGCGGCUGGGGCUGCCAAGAGCCCGAGGGCCGCUGAUUGGAGACUCCGCAUCAGAUGGGGCCGCGGCUGCCCCCCUUAAAGGGACAGAGCCCCUCCGCCGCGCCGCCCACGCGUGACCGCCCCCUCCACGCGUGACACCCCCCGACAUCGCCUUCCCCCCACCCCCGUGUUGAAGUGGCACCAACGGCAGGGCCCUUGUCCUCCGUGAGCGUCCUUACGUCCCCACUGGGGAAACUGAGGCACGGAAAAAAAAUCCUGGCUGAGGCGACCGGCACUUUUCCUGUAUCAGAGAGCUCUUCCAGGAUGAGCGCUUGGCCUGCACUACGUGCCUCCGCGCCUGGAAGCGUUUCCAAGAGCUCCACGAGAUGCUGGAGGACACCCAGCGGACACGCGGACACUGAUGGGGAGAAGCUGUUCUCCCAAAGGUCAUUGCCAUCAACAUGAGGAGAAAUGUCCCAGAAGGAGCUCCAGACACAACCAACAACACAUUUUGGUGAAAAACUUCAUUUGACAGCCGUGACUGCAGCAACAUUCCUAAAAGAUGAAGCACGCAUGGUUUCGUUGGCCAACUCUACCCACGGGCUCACGUGGAAUUUGCUGAAACAACUUCCUGUAUCUCCCAGCAAACCUCACCCAACCCAGUUCGGUGAGAUCCCACCCAACCCCGUCCGGUGGCUUUGCUGGGUGGGAGAGGUGACGUGGUCAGGGUUGUGGCUGUUGUAAUACAGAGAGUCAAGGGAGAGCUUGAUGGGGAAGGACGUGUCCAUGUCCAUCCUUCCAGCCUGCUUAAGCCACCUCUUCUCCUGCUCCUGUGGUGGAUGUGGUAGAUGUAGUGGAAGACCCAUCCUUGGGACAUUCACGGCUCUGAGCACCUGAUGGAGCUGUAGGUGUCCGUGUUCACUGCAGGGGGGUUGGACCAGAUGGCCUUUAAGUGUCCCUUUCAACUCAAAUGAUUCUGUGGUUCCAUGAUUCCAGCAGGGUGAGACAUGGGACACCUCUGUGGGAGUUGAUAUGACCAGGGAUCCCUGCACCAGCACAUGGACAAUAGAUCUCUUUCCUGGGAGCGUUUUUCCCUCCUCCUCAUCUGCUGGGGUUUCUGAAAGAGGGUAGCUCUAUGCUCCUGGUGCCUUCCUGCAAGGAUCUGGAAGGUCUGCAGGCUUCUUAGGUGGUGAUGGCUGGGACUUGGCCCUGUCACAUCUUGCAUAGACCAUCAAAAGGGUAAUGGGAUCCGGCUCCCAGCAGAGGGACCCCAGCAAAGCAGCCCUAAGUUCAGUUCAUUUGCCACUGUUGCCGUCGGGGAAUUUCAUCAGGGCCCUGGAGCAUGUCCAGAGAAGGACAGCAGAGCUGUGAAGGGUCUGGAGCACAAGUCUGUGGGGAGCGACUGAGGGAACUGGGAUGGUUCAGUCUGGAGAAGAGGAGGCUACAACCUGAAAGGAGGUGGUAGAGUGGUGAGGGUCGGUCUCUUCUCCCAGUGUAAUAGUGAUAGCAUGAAAGGUAGUGUCCUCAAGCUGCACAUGGGGGGAUUCAGGUUGGGUAUUAGGAAAUAUUUCUUCUCAGAAAGAGUGGCAGUACCCAGGGAGGUGGUGGGGUCAUCGUCCCUGGAGGUAUUCCAGAACCACAGAGAUACGGCACUGAGGGACGUGGUCAGUGGACAUGGUGGGGUUGGGUUGGGGUGGACUUGGGGAUCUCAGAGGUCUUUUCCAGACUUAAUGAUUCUAUGAUUCUAUGGAUGGGUUCUCCUGCGGCAGGGAAGCCCUGGAGAUAAGGGUAAGUGAGGAGAAAAGCAGGAAGGCCCUGGUGAUAUGGGAGAAGUACGGGUCCCACAAAAGGGCCAUCUCUUGCAGAUCUCACUCUUCUUUUUAAUGCCAGGGUUGUGAGAUAGCAACCAAGUGACUGUCACGGCAGGUCUUAACUGAGGGACCAGACACAACAACAUGGGGAUGGCAAUCAUCCAGGGGAACCAGGAGAGGUUCACACUGCCCUGAUUUAACUGAUCCCUGAUGUUUCACAUUGUCUUCCCAUAGCUUUGGUCCUCGAGGGAAGGCCAAGAUCAGCACCUGUCUCUCUGCUCCCCUGUGAGGAGCUGUAGGGCCAUGAGGAGCUGUAAGGCCAUGAGGAGCUGUAAGGCCAUGAGGGGCUGUAAGGCCAUGAGGGGCUGUAAGGCCAUGAGGGGCCGUGGGGCCAUGAGGGGCUGCAGCCGCCAUGAGGCCUCCCCUCAGCCUCCUCUGCUCUGGGCCCAACAAACCCAGGGCCCUCUGCUCUCCUCACACCCCUUGCCAUGCAGACCCUUCCCCCUCCCCACAGCCUUCCUUUGGACGCUCUCUAACAGCUCUGUGUCAGAAGGACACAGCAGCCCCAAACGUGCACCCAGUGCUUGGGGUCAGGCCGCAGCACAGAGCGGAGCGGGAGGUGGAAGAGCCCUCCAGGCAGACAGGGCCUCACUCGCAGGGUGCAGGCUCCAGGAUGGACGGGCAAAGCCAACCCUCUGGGGAGCUACUGCUGGCCCAGCAACUGGUUUUCACCCAGCAGCUGAUUUUCUGGGCAGGCACAAAGGAGUAUGGAAAAGUAGGGAUCACAUCAGGCCAAGAGAGAGGGAGAGAGAGAGAAAAAAAAAAAAAUAGGGAAAGCAAGAACAUUCCUGGAGGCUCCCUGGCCUCUCUCCCUGCAGCCUCCAGAGAGGAGAAGAGAGACAAAACAAAAGGCGUGAGAGAAGAGCGAGCCAAAGGCGAGGAGGGUGGAAGCAGCAGCGCCGGGAUGCGGCCGACCAGGCCAGAAGGGCCCAGGGGUCGCACCGAAAUCGCUGCCCUUUUAUGGCCGGGCAAGCAGGACCGUGGCGUGGAGCCUGUCCUACUAAGGGAAAACGUCUCCCGUUCAGCGUAUGCAACAAGAACACCCACAGCGCGAGCACGGCCGGGCUCCCAAAGGACGGCUGAAAUACGGCUGCUUUGCGUUGACCCCAAUUCUUCUCUUUUUUUUUUCUUUUUCCCCCUUGCCUCUGAGGGAAGGAAAAAUUUUAAGAAAAGAAGGGUUAUUUGAGCGGUUUUGGGCUCAUCGAGGCCAUCCAGGACACGGGCAGGUUGUGGUGGUGUAGAGGAUGGUCAGCACCCGGCCCCUAAGCACCGCCAUUGCUCUAACUGAGGGCAUCCCACCUCACCCCGAGUCUCCUGUGUCUUUUCCUCCCCAGGGGACAAAAUCGCACCAGGAAAAGCUUUUGCUCUUUGUCGGGUGGGAAGGGGAACGCAGGCUGCUCCAGCACCCUGCCUUGGAGCUGCCCCAACCUGUCAGAAGUUGUCCAUCCUCUCAAGUUCCUAUUUCCCAUGUUCCUCCCGUACCCCAUAAUUUUCCCCCCUGCAAGGAACUGUUGCAUCCGAGGUUCACCUCUCAGAUGAACUUUUAUUGGAUUCCAGAUUGUCUCCUACAAAUUCUGUAAUAAGUAGGUUUGCUUUUUAUAUGCAGCGACGCCGACGUGAGGAAGUGUAAUUAAAGUCCUUGAAUGACGACAAGAUCUAAAUAUUAAAGCAAAAAUUGCUUGGAGGGGGAAGGGGCAGAACCCCCUCCCCACACACACACUUCUAGAUUUCCUGAAGAAUAUUUAGCUUCUUUUACCCCGAAAAAGAAAUUAUGGAAUCACUGACUGCUUUGUGCAAGUUCAGUGUGGUUUGGUGGGCACGGAGGGGAUGGGUUGGUGGUUGGAUUAGGUGAGCUUAGUGGUCUUUUCCAACCUUAAUGAUUCUAUGAGUGCCCUGCUGGAAGCUGAAGGUUUCUCAUCGUCUUAUUUCUUCACGCUCAGUCUGGAGGUCUGGAGAUAGCACCAUACUGGGGGAAAAAAAGCUCAUUUUGAGCAUGGAUUAACUGCAGGCUUAAAGAUCAAGGCCUCUGUGUUGGAUGCAUCAAGCAAGCCAAGCCAAGCUGUCCUCACCGCUUUGCAUUGGAGGAGCUAUCUCGACUAACAACUUGGCUUGGAAGUUUUAACAUUGAGGGGAAAGAAACAUUUGGAUUCUCCCACCAGGCCUUCCUUCAGCCAUUUUUGGCUGUUUCAUUCCAGCAUGAACAAUUUAACUCCUGUUGCAUCCAGGCCGCCGGGCAAAUGUAAAUUCAACAAACCUUCACUUUUUCUCAUGAAAAACGUUACGUGGGCUUCGUGCUUUAGGUAGGAAAACCACAGAAUUUCAUAAAUAUUUGGGUGUUUUAAAAGCCCUUGAGAAGACCAUUAAGGAUGUUAAGCUGCCACAGGACUGGAGAAAAGGUCCUUUUAUUGCUGGAAAGCUGGUUACAAGACAGGGAGCAAAAGGUAGGGAGGGCUUAAUGGUCAUUUUUGGGGAUGGAGAGAGCCUGGCACUGGGUCAGCACCAGCAGCACCCUGGAGGACGAGGAGCGUGUCCAGAUGCUCAGCUCUCCCAGUGUCACCAAAUGCCACACAGACGCUAAGCAACUCCACCAGGACCUCAGCAAAUUAUGUUCAAGGUGGCAGCCAAAAAAAGCCAAUAUGUCUUUUCUUGGAGCUUUUCUCGAGCAUCUCCAAUGCAGUGUGUGUAAUUCUCAUCUCCAAGAGGAGCAUGAUGGUCUUGGAGAAGCAGAGAGAACAGCAAAACUCAUAAUACUGUGGAAUCAUCUAGGUUGGAAAAGACCUCCAAGAUCACCAAGUCCAACCAUCAGCCUGACCUACUGAGUCCUGCCACUAAGCCACGUCUCCAUGCCAAAUGACCUUCCGAGGUGAGGUAGAAAGAUCAGGAUUGUUCAGCCUGGAAAAGGGAAGGCUGAGGAGAGCUGGUGAACAAGGUGCCCUGCAUCACGAAGGCCAUGAAUACAGUAGAUACUGGCCAAUUAUUAAAACAGGCCAAUUAUUAAAGUAGCAGAUCAAUUUCAAAUGAAAAACAAGGUGUAGGAAAGGCACAUCUGCAUGGAGCAGUUAACUGGACCAGGCUCUCCCAGGCCAUAGAACCAUCUGGGCUGGAAAAGGCCUUCCAGAUGAUGCCUAACCAUCCGUGCAAAUCUAGCGAGAUGCACUUGGAUUGCUCCUUAUCUCAGCUGGACUUCAUCAGGACCUAGCAACAAGCUUCAAUCCUUAUCCAAUCCCCUAAUAAAACGUACAUGAAGUGGCUCCAGCACUGCAUCGUGCACGUAAAGACUGCAUGUCUGCACCUUUGGAUGUCACCUUCAGGUGUCACCCAGAAAUCCGGCAAGGAGAGUCACGCUCGCAGCAUGGCAUCGCAUCCACUUGGUGACGAGCCAGGUGUGAAGGUUGUGUGGGUCUUCCCAGCACGGGGCUUGCUGUUCAAAGGCAGCUUUGCAUACCAAAGGAGAACGCGGUAAGAGGCAGCAUUUCAUUAGUCAGGAAGUUAUAAAUUGAUAGCUUGAUUGAAAUAAUUAUCAAGAUUAAGAACUACAGGAAAUACCCGGAGCUGCAUUUACAGUCAAAAGCAUCUCCAGGGAGCAGGGAAAGCUUUGCCCCAGGUCGGAGCUUUGAUGCAAGAAGCAAAGGGCAGUAGGAUGUUGCAUGUCAGCACCAAGUCCCUCAGUUCAGACCUCCAUCUGCCCUCUGUGCUGGCUGCCUCCAGGAGCUCAGCAGAGCUGACAUGGGCUGCUUUUCCUGGGUCAGUCCCCAAGCACGUCCUACCAUUUAUUUUCUUAAAACAAAUCAGAUUCUUACUUUUCCCUUAGAUGGAGCCCCAUGGCAGGGAGUUGGAACCGGAUGGGCUUUGAGGUCCCUUCAAACCCAAAGCAUUCCCAUGAUUCUAAGAUUCCGAUUCUAAAAUUUUGAGAGUGGUUUUUAAGACUGCCAAGGGAGUGCUGACACUUGGUGGAGUGUAAAGCAGGUAUAUGUCAAGCACAUUAAUUUCAAAGCACUUUCGCUCUUCUCUGGCUUUUAGGUCCUUGGAAUCCAUGGGGAAAUUUUCCAUCCCAUUAGGGCUAUACAUUAGUAAUGGAAAAAAUGAGAUUAGCAGCAAGAAACCCUUUUGUUCAGUAAAUACUCAGAUACAGAAUACCAGGAAAAGCAGUGAACUUCCCUCUCUUGCUGAAAGUGAUGGCUGUGGGAGGUAGUCCUACAAAAGAAAAAAACAAAACAUUUCUAGAGUGAAGAAUAGGAAUAAUUUGAUUUAUAUUAACACUAAAUAAAAGUAUUAAGAGCUGCUUGGUGCUUGUAUUGACAACUCAAGGAGGAUGCUGUGGAGUAUUCAGCUGAAAAGGGAUGAACUGGGGAUUGGAAAAGGGCUGAGGACACAGAGCUCAGGGAGCCCACAUGGAUAAUUGGGUCUUCAAAGGCAACAGGACAGAGCAAGAUAGCAAUGCAGGCUCCAGGCAGGAUGAACAGGCACCAGGCACCUCACAGCAAGGCUUUGCCAGACCCAGCAGCCAGAAGGUUGGGUCAGCCGAGCUCAAGUGGGAGUUGAGUUUCAGUGGGUGAUGCCCAUAGUAGGGGGUUGGAACUACACGAUCUCUGAGGUCCCUUCCAACCCAAGCCAUUCUAUCCUUCUGUGAUGGUGAUGAUGAUAAAGGAUUGAGUGGAAUGACAGCCCCAGAGCAAAUUAUCAAAAACCAUGUCCAGAUUUGUCAUUGGUGAACAUUUCAAAAUCCAGAUGUAGGGAAUGGGAGAAGUGGCAGGGGAUGGUGACACAGAGCUGGAGGCGAGCAGGGCUGCAGGAGGGAGCAGUGCUCAGAGGAAUUAUAUUUACACUUCGCCAUGGAACCGAGGAGAUCCGCAGCCCAAGAGUCCCUGGGGAGCUGUCCCAGGCCUGGUACUGUUCAAAAUAUUUUGUUAAUAAUUACUUGCAUGAAUAGAAAAUUUGCUUCUUGCAGCUGCAAAUGAUACCAAGCUGGGAGGGACUUCGAGCACUUUGGAGCAUGGGCUGAAACUUCAAAGCAAACUUGACGCAUUAGAGAAAUAGCUUGGAAAAAAAAAUAAACAGGCUGCGAUUCAUUGGAAACAAAGGAAAAACUUGCUGCUUGUGUAAGAAGGCUGGGGCUGCAGAGCAUGAAAGCAAACAGCCCUCGCCAUGCUGCUGCAAAAAUGGCAAACUGAUGUGCAGGGGGAACGGGGUCUGCAGGACCACGGAGCAGUGCCUGGGGUCUGCUUGGAGCCAUGGCUGCAGCACGGCCUUGGCUGCCUAUGGGUAGGCCCAGGGUCUAAGAAAUUGCUUCAAUAUAAAAUAAAAGACCAAAGGAAUUGGAGCUAUUUAGCCUGGAGAAAAGCUGGCACAGCCUUUCACAAAUAUUUUCAGGUGGUCGAAGGGAAAAGGUUGUUUUCUCCCCUCUCUGAUUAUGAGAAGAAGUGAUGGGCUUCAGUGGCAGCAACAGAGCUUUAGUAUAGACAUCAGAAAACUGCUUUCUUUUUGGGAGUACAGCUGAACCUCAGUGCUGGUGAUGUUUACAGAGAUUUACAGGCAUAGCACCAGCCCAAAUCUCACCAAGCCUGUGGGAAUGGCCAGGAAACACAAGAAGGUUUAGGUGGAAGAGAGGCAAGCACCGAUCUCCUUCCCACACCAUCUCACCCCAGACCCCACCAUCAAAGCCCAUCCCUGGGGGGUUUUGACUCCUGAAACUGAUUGGUUGUUUGUCACAAGGCAGAGGUUUUAGCUGCAAAGAAGGGAGAAGUAAGGUCCAAGGUCAGUCAUGGCAUGGCUUAGGUUGGAGGGGAAUUUCAAGCCCGUGCAGCUCCAACCCAUCCCAUCUAGGGCUGCCAACCCAGCUCAGGCUGCCCAAAGCCCCCUCCAACCUGGCCUCAAGCACCUCCAGGGAUGGGACACCCAGAGCUCUCUGGGCAGCAGUGCCAUUGCCAACAGGGCAGUUAGGAGGGCACUUCAGAGCGUGGGUGAAGUCCUAGCAAAGUUGGUGGAAGGUGGAGUUACCUAACACGUUCCACAAAUGAUGCCUGUGCCUCAGUGCCAAAUAACACCACAGCUUGCAGCCCUGGCACAGACCAGCAGUUAUUUCCUUAAAUGGUGGAAGCAGACCUCAGAAGCAUAAAAGGCUCUGGCUGUGCAGGCCAGCAGUGUGCCCUCACAGCCAGGAAGGCCAACAGGACCCUGGGUUGCAUUGCACAGAACGUGGCCAGCAGGGGGAGGGAGGUGAUCCUAAGAGGAGCUAGUUCUGCCCUGGGGAGGGCACAUCUGAAGCACUGGGUCCAGUUCUGGGCUCUCCCGUUCAAGACAGGGAACUGCUGGAGAGAGCCCAGCUGAGGACAACCAAGAUGAUGGGGCCUGGAACAUCUCCCAGUGAAGAAAGAACAGCCCUGGGGCUGCUCAGGCUGGAGAAGAGAAGGCUGAGGGGGAAUCUCAUCAAUGCUUAUACGUAUCCAAAGAGUAGGAGCCAAGUGGAUGGGGCCAGGCUCUGACAGUGCCCUCUCCCAUUCCCCAGUACCUUCCAAAGUCGUUCUCAUGCCUUUCAUCACUCAGCUCCCUGCUGCCACGGAGGGGACCAGAACAGGGGAAGAGCUCAUCCCUAAGAGCAUACACCACGACUUGGGCUGGGAAGAAAGCCCGGGGAACGGCCAGCCCCUUCCUGGCAGCAGUAGAAAAUAAAAGGAAGGGAUGUGGCAGCCUGAAGGCCAGCACGAGGGUAUGCGCUUCGGGCCUCUGCUGCAAUUGUGAAAUAUUGCUUUCCUAAAAAAAUGCAUACAUAUCUAUAGACAGAUACCCGUAUCCCUAUGUAUCACAGACUGAUUCUGUGCCCGCAGCCCUGUGUGCUUCGAGGGCCACGCGGAUGCUCUCAAAUCUCCAGCUGGGUCCCUUUAAUUGCUGAUAUGAUUUCUGACAGUUGUGCCUUCUCACAGGCACGCAGCUAAAGCCUUUCAGAAGCGGGCGGAAAACCAUUAGCUCCACAGCCGUAUAUACCAAGAUUAUUUAUACGGAUGCGAGGGAGGGGCGGAGCGCGGGGAGCUUUAUCUGCUCGUGAUUUAAAUCCCAGGCAGCGUUGGGUUUGGCAAUGGCACCAGAUGGAUUGCAGAGUGCAGCUCAAGGUCAUCUAAAUACCGCGCCGGGCUCCCGCCGGUAAGCGCCAGCGCGAAGCACACCAAGCCAGCCACAGACAUUUAAUACAGCGUCGGAUAGCCCGUCAUCUUCAGAAAGAGCACUUGAAACGCUCCUUACCCUCGAGUACAAGGACACAAAUAACCCUUGUUUAAAAGCGAUAAAGCAGCAGGAGCGCAAUCUCUCCGCCUGUAGAUAUGGCAGGAAAGCUGUGCCGUAAAUGCACGCUUUGUAAGAACUAUUUGUUCAUCUGAUAGACACCCUCGCAGCCAGGCAGCUCAAGUCUUCUUUUCCGAUUCUGGAGAAGCUUCCUUCCCUUCCAUUUCCCCCCCCCCCCCAAGAUCUCUUCUUGCAGUCCACUAAUAGCUACCUUUAAUACACCGCAGGUCUGAGCGCUUUUUAAUACAAAAUCCUCCCCUGGAGGACACACAGCAGGCUGUCAGCUCCUCUGUUUUUACCAGCACAGGCAGCAGGAGGGGACAGCCUGACUUCAGCUCACACGUGCAGCAAGCAGCACUUUGGGUGUGAAAGCAAGAGAGGGGCUGGACAACCCCUCUCACACAGCGAGGAAUCCCACGCCUGGCAUCCUCCUCAAAAGCGACGCUCGUAAGCUUGCGGUUAGCCAUGGUGUCCAGGUCAUGCCAAGGACGGAAGCAAACAACUUCCACUCGUCCUCACCCCUAAGGAAAUCCAGUCAGACCAAGGCAAUCAGCCUUUCCGUCAGGGCAACGCCAGCGUACCCAGCGAAAUCCAGCUCUCCUGGAACAGAAGGGUCUGAGAGGCUGACGGGUUUGUGCGCUGAGCCGUCGCAUCUGCUGACUUCAAGCAACACCACAUUUCCAAUACGCUGCGGAAACGAUGCGGGAACGCAGUCUGGGGAAAGAAUAUUUAGCAAAGUCGUUAAACUCAGCACACAGAUUUCUGCGCAGAUCUGCUACGUGCAGCUUUUCCACAACGGAGAGGAACCUUCCACGUAUCUUGAGGAAAUGCUGAGACCUCACAGCACCUGCAAAUCUCAAACUAUUUGCUCCUCCUCCGACUCUUCAGUCAACGCCGAACGGAGCCUUGUGGAG
Molecule: long non-coding RNA, 10145 nt
Organism: Numida meleagris (helmeted guineafowl)
Lineage: Eukaryota; Metazoa; Chordata; Aves; Galliformes; Numididae
Exons: 3
Source: RefSeq, a predicted model, not a curated record